CAACAAGGCUCCGACCCGUCGGCAACGGCGGGGAAGGGCGCACUUAUUAGGCGAAAACCAACGGCCGUCUCCGGGCGGCCUUGGUGGACGACUCCCGAGUAAUUGCCGCCGAUCGCACGGCCUAGAGCCGGCGACGCCUCUAUUGAGUUUCUGAUCUAUCAUGCUGACGACGGUUGGUGCUAUGCCAACCGCGGCGUUAACGGAUAACAGAGAAUCUGGGUUCGAUUCUGGAGAGGCCGCACGAGAAACGGCGACCACUUCCAAGGAAGGCAGCAGGCCCGCAAAUUACCCACUUCGGACACCGAGAGGUAGUGACGAAUAAUACCGAUGCGGCGCACUUACGUGUCGCCGUAAUCGGAAUGAGUACACUUGAAAUCCUUUAACGAGGAUCCACUGGAGGGCAAGCCUGGUGCCAGCAGCCGCGGUAAUUCCAGCUCCAGCAGCGUAUAUUUAUAUUGCUGCGUUUAAAAAGCUCGUAGUUGAAGCGUCAGACACGGGAGGGCGGACGGCCGCACUGGUCGCUCUCGCCCGACCGGGCCAGGCGCAGAGGGUGUCCGUCGCUUGCACUUCGCCGUGUGAGCGCGGCGCCGCUGCACGUUCACCUUGAAGAAAUUGAACCGCUCAGAGGAGGCGUGCAGCUCGAACAGCUCAGCAUGGUAUGAUGGAACAUGGGCUCGUACACGUUUUGUUGGUUCUAGUGUUGGCGAGCCAAUGAUUAAGAGGGACUGCCGGGGGCAUUAGUACUCGCACGGGAGAGGUGAAAUUCAAGGAUCGUGCGAAGACUUCCUACUGCGAAAGCAUUUGCCAAGAAUGUUUUCAUUAAUCAAGAACGAAAGUCAGAGGUGCGAAGGCGAUCAGAUACCGCCGUAGUUCUGACCGUAAACGAUGCCGACUGGCAAUUGGGCGCACUUCUGACGAAGUUGCCGCCAGCAGUAUUACUCCUGGGAAACCAAAGUCAUUGGGUUCCGGGGGGAGUAUGGUUGCAAAGCUGAAACUUAAAGGAAUUGACGGAAGGGCACCACCAGGAGUGGAGCCUGCGGCUUAAUUUGACUCAACACGGGAAACCUCACCCGGCCCGAACACUGUUAUGACAGACAGGUUGAGAGCUCUUUCUCGAUUCAGUGGUUGGUGGUGCAUGGCCGUUCUUAGUUCGUGGAGCGAUCUGUCUGGUUAAUUCCGAUAACGAACGAGACUCUUGCCUGCUAAAUAGACGGCGCCGACGUGCACGGCGACCGCAUGCUUCUUAGAGGGACAAGCGGCUUUUAGCCGCGUGAAGCGGAGAGCAAUAACAGGUCAGUGAUGCCCUCAGAUGUUCGGGGCCGCACGCGCGCUACACUGUUUGCAUCAGCGUGUCUACCCUCGCCGGCCGGCGUGGGCAACCCGUUGAACCGCAAACGUGCUAGGGCUCGGAGAUUGCAAUUAUUCUCCGUCAACGAGGAAUUCCUUGUACUUGUGAGUCAUCAGCUCGCGGGGAAUCUGUCCCUGCCCUUUGUACACACCGCCCGUCGCUACUACCGAUUGAGUGGUUUAGUGAGGCUCACGGACUGCGAGCGGCACACGGUGUCAUGCCGCGUCGCGAGCGGAAAGUGAGACGAACUUGAUCA
This 1604-nucleotide ribosomal RNA is filed under the name Conopeum sp. n. JS-2019. RNAcentral describes it as "SSU rRNA". It matches the Rfam family "Eukaryotic small subunit ribosomal RNA", at positions 174 to 1771 of the family's 1831-position model. The record is from RNAcentral. Lineage: Eukaryota; Metazoa; Bryozoa; Gymnolaemata; Cheilostomatida; Electridae.